CUUCCUAGAAGAGUGACGGGCGAUUUGUGCAUAUUUAAUUUCUUCAUUCAACUUAAAUUUAUUUUUACAUUUAACUUUAAGUCCUUUUUCUUUUUUAUUCUUUUCAAUUCUAGUCUCUUAAUUUUUUGUAUCCCAUGGAACCCUUUCUAAUAAUCUCUGCCUUGAUUUGUAUUUUUAUUAUUAAAUUUUGAAAAAAAAUUCUUUAAAUUUUUGUUUAAUACAAUGGUAUAGAAAAUAAAAAAGAAAGUUCAAUUAAUCGUGGGUUGUCUAAUAAAGAAACAGGAUCCCCUAACUAGGUUAAAUACCGCCAUAUUCUUUUAAAUUUUGUUUAUUUAAGUACUUAUUAAUUUUUUUCUAAAA
This 360-nucleotide ribosomal RNA is filed under the name Abacarus sp. L11 2. RNAcentral describes it as "partial small subunit ribosomal RNA". The record is from RNAcentral. Lineage: Eukaryota; Metazoa; Arthropoda; Arachnida; Trombidiformes; Eriophyidae.